GUGGCUGUGGCUCAGUGGUAGAGCGCUUGUCUAUCAUGCAUGAGACACUGGGUUUGACCCCAGCACCACA
Molecule: transfer RNA, 70 nt
Filed under: Marmota marmota marmota (Alpine marmot)
Lineage: Eukaryota; Metazoa; Chordata; Mammalia; Rodentia; Sciuridae
Also listed under: 1 other name
Rfam family: tRNA
About the family: Transfer RNA (tRNA) molecules are approximately 80 nucleotides in length. Their secondary structure includes four short double-helical elements and three loops (D, anti-codon, and T loops).
Source: Rfam by way of RNAcentral